UACAGAGGGGGCAAGCGUUGUUCGGAAUUACUGGGCGUAAAGGGCGCGUAGGCGGCCUUCUAAGUCGAACGUGAAAUCCCCGGGCUCAACCCGGGAACUGCGUCCGAUACUGGAAGGCUUAAAUCCGGGAGAGGGAUGCGGAAUUCCAGGUGUAGCGGUGAAAUGCGUAGAUAUCUGGAGGAACACCGGUGGCGAAGGCGACAUCCUGGACCGGUAUUGACGCUGAGGCGCGAAAGCCAGGGGAGCAAACGGG
Molecule: ribosomal RNA, 253 nt
Filed under: uncultured bacterium
Lineage: Bacteria
Description: partial 16S ribosomal RNA
Rfam family: Bacterial small subunit ribosomal RNA
Source: RNAcentral